This 21-nucleotide non-coding RNA is filed under the name Arabidopsis thaliana (thale cress). Lineage: Eukaryota; Viridiplantae; Streptophyta; Magnoliopsida; Brassicales; Brassicaceae. The record is from RNAcentral.
CGAGAAUGGCGGUCGCAAUAU